This 691-nucleotide ribosomal RNA is filed under the name uncultured fungus. Its description in RNAcentral is "eukaryotic LSU rRNA". The stretch from base 272 to 425 matches the Rfam family "5.8S ribosomal RNA". Lineage: Eukaryota; Fungi. The record is from RNAcentral.
UAGAGGAAGUAAAAGUCGUAACAAGGUUUCCGUAGGUGAACCUGCGGAAGGAUCAUUAUCGUGCGAAUAGAGGCACUGGGGCUGUCGCUGACCUUUUGAAAAAAGGGUCGUGCACGCCCCAGCGCGCUCAUACAAUCCAUCUCACACCUUUGUGCACUACCGCGUGGGCCCUCUUCGGCUCGUUCUGAGGGGGGUUCACGUUUUAUUUACACACCACACACGUCUUGUAUAGAAUGUCUUUACUUAUUUUGCGAUCACACGCAAUCAAUACAACUUUCAACAACGGAUCUCUUGGCUCUCGCAUCGAUGAAGAACGCAGCGAAAUGCGAUACGUAAUGUGAAUUGCAGAAUUCAGUGAAUCAUCGAAUCUUUGAACGCACCUUGCGCCCCUCGGCAUUCCGAGGGGCACACCCGUUUGAGUGUCGUGACAUUCUCAACCUUUUUUGGUUUCUCGACCAAGGAAGGCUUGGACUUUGGGGGUUUUUGCUGGUCUCCUUUGAANCCAGCUCCUCUUAAAAGAAUUAGUAGGGUUCGGUUUGCCAGUCCUUGACGUGAUAAGAUGCUUCUACGUCUCGGGUUUGGCAGCAAUCCACCUAUGGNUCCUGCUUCUAACCGUCUUGCUGAAGGACGAUGUUCGAACCUUGACCUCAAAUCGGGUGAGACUACCCGCUGAACUUAAGCAUAUCAAUAA